This 1137-nucleotide ribosomal RNA is filed under the name Rodentibacter ratti. RNAcentral's name for it is "bacterial SSU rRNA". It matches the Rfam family "Bacterial small subunit ribosomal RNA", at positions 51 to 1187 of the family's 1533-position model. Lineage: Bacteria; Pseudomonadati; Pseudomonadota; Gammaproteobacteria; Pasteurellales; Pasteurellaceae. The record is from RNAcentral.
UANNAUGCAGUCGAACGGUAGCAGGAAGGAAGCUUGCUUUCUUUGCUGACGAGUGGCGGACGGGUGAGUAAUNCUUGGGAAUCUGGCUUAUGGAGGGGGAUAACUGCGGGAAACUGCAGCUAAUACCGCGUAAAGUCUUUGGACUAAAGGGGGCGUUUGCUCUUGCCAUAAGAUGAGCCCAAGUGGGAUUAGGUAGUUGGUGGGGUAAUGGCUCACCAAGCCGUCGAUCUCUAGCUGGUCUGAGAGGAUGACCAGCCACACCGGGACUGAGACACGGCCCGGACUCCUACGGGAGGCAGCAGUGGGGAAUAUUGCGCAAUGGGGGAAACCCUGACGCAGCCAUGCCGCGUGAAUGAAGAAGGCCUUCGGGUUGUAAAGUUCUUUCGGUGAUGAGGAAGGCAGUUUGGUUAAUAGCCAAGCUGAUUGACGUUAGUCACAGAAGAAGCACCGGCUAACUCCGUGCCAGCAGCCGCGGUAAUACGGAGGGUGCGAGCGUUAAUCGGAAUAACUGGGCGUAAAGGGCACGCAGGCGGAUUUUUAAGUGAGGUGUGAAAGCCCCGGGCUUAACCUGGGAAUUGCAUUUCAGACUGGGAAUCUAGAGUACUUUAGGGAGGGGUAGAAUUCCACGUGUAGCGGUGAAAUGCGUAGAGAUGUGGAGGAAUACCGAAGGCGAAGGCAGCCCCUUGGGAAUGUACUGACGCUCAUGUGCGAAAGCGUGGGGAGCAAACAGGAUUAGAUACCCUGGUAGUCCACGCUGUAAACGCUGUCGAUUUGGGGGUUGGGGUUUAACUCUGGCGCCCGUAGCUAACGUGAUAAAUCGACCGCCUGGGGAGUACGGCCGCAAGGUUAAAACUCAAAUGAAUUGACGGGGGCCCGCACAAGCGGUGGAGCAUGUGGUUUAAUUCGAUGCAACGCGAAGAACCUUACCUACUCUUGACAUCCAGAGAAUCCUGUAGAGAUACGGGAGUGCCUUCGGGAGCUUUGAGACAGGUGCUGCAUGGCUGUCGUCAGCUCGUGUUGUGAAAUGUUGGGUUAAGUCCCGCAACGAGCGCAACCCUUAUCCUUUGUUGCCAGCGAUUAGGUCGGGAACUCAAGGAGACUGCCGGGAUAACCGAGAGAGGGGGGGGGAANCAGAAU